CUUAAAACACUGGUUCCCGUACGAUCAUCGAAAUUAAGCAAUGUUGAAACUGGUCAGUCCCUAGAUGGGUGACCGUUUGGAAAUAUCAAGUGCUGCAAU
Molecule: non-coding RNA, 99 nt
Organism: Acanthosepion pharaonis
Lineage: Eukaryota; Metazoa; Mollusca; Cephalopoda; Sepiida; Sepiidae
Source: the annotation of a GenBank genome assembly